This is a non-coding RNA of Macaca mulatta (Rhesus monkey), 960 nucleotides long. Lineage: Eukaryota; Metazoa; Chordata; Mammalia; Primates; Cercopithecidae. The record is from RefSeq and is a predicted model, not a curated record.
AGAAAAAAAAAAAAAAAAAAAGAUGCGAGUCGGCUGACGUUCCGGGCCAAAUAAAAAACCUCUUCCUUCUUUAAUCUGGUGUCUUGAGGAGUUUUGUCUGCGGCUUGUCCUGCUACAUUUCUUGGUUCCCUGACCGGGAAGCGAGGUGAUUAAAGGACGGUCGAGGCAGCCCCUUAGGCAGCUUAUGCCUGCCCUGUAGAGCAUCCCUGCGGGGGACUCUGGCCAGCUUGAGCGAUGCGGAUCCUGAGAGCACUCCCGGGUAGGCAUUUGCCCCGGUGGAGGCAUUUACCUCUUCAGAGCAGUGCACAGCAGGCCCCUGUGGAGGAUCAACACAGUGGCUGAACACCAGGAAGGAACUGGCCCUUUAAGUCCGGACAUCUGAAACUUGGUGUUGUGUCUUGGAUCCACCACAGUCAGUUAACACCGGCAGCUCAGGACAAGUGCACCAGCCAGCAGGAUGCAGAUCAUCCAACCCGGUUGAUCCUGAGACGAGACCAAGCUGCUGCUGAGGAUGAUAGCCCUGUUCUGGUCACUCCGGAGGCUGACCAGUCUACAUACGGCUGCAGCUUGAGGAGACAACAAGCCCUGCUCUAGUCACACACCGGCAGCUGACUAGUCUAUGCACGACCGAAGCUUGAGGACUCAUCAAACAAGUAAAUGUAGUUAAAAAUCUUAAUAGUUUUCCUGCAAUACUGCUUUCCUAUUGUUCUGUCACUGUAUUCAACCUUUUUCCCAGGUAAGGACCUCUUUUGUCCUUGCUGGAUAUGAAUAUGCUGUACAUGGUUUUGUUGUUGUUACCCCCCAUAACCAUGCUAGAAGAAACACCUAGAUGAGGUGUCCCCACUGUACACGUACCACUUAGGAAACCCAGACCUGUUCAGCCCAGCACAAUUCCGAGUCUUGCAGUCAUUCUUUAAACAUACAAACCAGAAGUUACCAGAACCUCCUCCUUUAGCAAAA